RNAcentral lists this ribosomal RNA (459 nucleotides) under uncultured bacterium. RNAcentral describes it as "partial 16S ribosomal RNA". It matches the Rfam family "Bacterial small subunit ribosomal RNA", at positions 338 to 795 of the family's 1533-position model. The record is from RNAcentral.
CCUACGGGCGGCAGCAGUGAGGAAUAUUGGUCAAUGGGAGAGAUCCUGAACCAGCCAAGCCGCGUGAGGGAAGACGGCCCUAUGGGUUGUAAACCUCUUUUGUCGGAGAACAAAACGCGGGACGUGUCCCGGACUGCGUGUAUCCGAAGAAAAAGCAUCGGCUAACUCCGUGCCAGCAGCCGCGGUAAUACGGAGGAUGCGAGCGGUAUCCGGAUUUAUUGGGUUUAAAGGGUGCGUAGGCGGUCGCGUAAGUCAGCGGUAAAAUGGCGGGGCUCAACCCCGUCUAGCCGUUGAAACUGGCAGACUGGAGUGGGCGAGAGGUAGGCGGAAUGCGCGGUGUAGCGGUGAAAUGCAUAGAUAUCGCGCAGAACUCCGAGUGCGAAGGCAGCGUACCGGCGCGAGACUGACGCUGAGGCACGAAAGCGUGGGGAUCGAACAGGAUUAGAUACCCCAGUAGUC